GGGCAAGGAUGGUAGUAGCAUCUUUGGAAAAAACAGGGAAAGGAGGGUGGGGAGAUGUCAAAUCUAUUAAAACAUGGAAGCGACUUGAUGAUGAACAUCUUACAACCAUCGAUACUCAGGUUCUUUGGAGCAAGAGGUCUGCCGGUGCUCGUAGAAAAAAGCCUAUCGGUCACCACUAAAGAAUUUUAUUACUGAAGCAUGAUCACAAAUUGGUAGCAGAAGCCUAUUCUUCAACUUGCAUCUACUGGAAAGGUUUAUACUUGUUGUAUGGGUUAUUUACUUAGGGUCAAAAGUUAAUGUGUAAUGUUAAAGGUGAUGUAGGAGCAAGCAAUAUAUAUGUAGGUCACAUUCAGAGAAUGAGAUAAGGACCCACUUAUGUAGUAAAGAAAGAUUGAUAUAGUUCGAAACUCGCCUCUCUACUUCCUCAAGUAGGGCAAGGUACGUGUACACUUUAUCCUCCCGAGAUUUAUUGUUGUUGUAUGUUUGCUGUUGUACUAGAAAAACGUGAACUAUUCUGUUGUACCGAUGUUGUGCCUUUCUCAUAUUUUUUUUCCAUAUGAUUAUUC
This 566-nucleotide unclassified non-coding RNA is filed under the name Hevea brasiliensis (rubber tree). Lineage: Eukaryota; Viridiplantae; Streptophyta; Magnoliopsida; Malpighiales; Euphorbiaceae. The record is from RNAcentral.